GAUGAAUGCUGGCGGCGUGGAUAAGGCAUGCAAGUCGAACGGGUCGCAAGACCAGUGGCAGACGAGGUAGUAAUAUACAGGUACGUACCGAGAAGUCGGGCAUAGCUAUUCGAAAGAGUAGGUAACUCCCGAUAGUCUUUCCGAAGUAAAGGAGCAAUCCGCUUUUUGAACGGCCUGUACUGCAUCAGCUAGUUGGAGUGGUAACGGCACACCAAGGCUAUGACGCAUAGGGGAGCUGAGAGGCUGACCCCCACCGAUAGCACUGAGACACGGGCUAUACACCUACGGGUGGCUGCAGUCGAGAAUCUUCCGCAAUGGACGAAAGUCUGACGGAGCGACGCCGCGUGGUUGAUGAAGUCCUUCGGGACGUAAAAACCUUUUAUGAGGGAGGAAGUUAUUGACGUUACCUCAUGAAUAAGGGGCUCCUAACUCUGUGCCAGCAGGAGCGGUAAUACAGAGGCCCCAAGCAUUAUCCGGAAUCACUGGGCGUAAAGGGUGUGUAGGCGGUCAUAUUAGUCUUUCGUGAAAGCUUUUGGGCUUAACCCAGAAAACGCGGGAGAAACGGUAUGGCUACGAGGACGCGAGAGGUAGAGGGAACUCAUGGUGUAGGGGUGAAAUCCGUUGAUAUCAUGGGGAACACCAAAUGCGAAGGCACUCUACUGGCGCGCUCCUGACGCUGAAACACGAAAG
This 690-nucleotide ribosomal RNA is filed under the name uncultured soil bacterium. RNAcentral's name for it is "bacterial SSU rRNA". It matches the Rfam family "Bacterial small subunit ribosomal RNA", at positions 28 to 759 of the family's 1533-position model. The record is from RNAcentral.